RNAcentral lists this long non-coding RNA (1551 nucleotides) under Homo sapiens (human). Its description in RNAcentral is "non-protein coding lnc-SLAMF7-2:17". Lineage: Eukaryota; Metazoa; Chordata; Mammalia; Primates; Hominidae. The record is from RNAcentral.
AAAUCAUAUAGGGCCAGGAGGAGAGGACCAAAUUAUGUCUUAGUUACCUGGCUGCUGGUGGUUGUCUCUGUUUUUUGUAGAGCACAGGUGUAACGGCUUUCAGGGUGGGGGUGGGGAACUCUCCACUGAGUAGUGUGCUGAUGUGGGAGAUCUCUGGCUUGGCCUCUUCCGGCCCUCCUCCCACUCAGCUCCCACCAAUGAUGUAUCAAUAAAACCUCUUGCUGCUGGAGAUCUGCUUACCUGGUGGCCAGGGUGGCAAGACAAGUGAAGCCUGACUAUGCCUGCAGCAUCCACUGUGGAAACUACUACAUCUUUGCCAUGCCAAACAGUGAGUAUGCAGGCUGCUCCCGAUCUUGCUGCAAUGUCAUGUUUCUACCAUGAAGAAAAUCAACAGAUCCACUACCCAACCGAGAAUUCAGACUUUAGUCUCCCUUUCUUUUGCAUACCUUGAACCUCUCAUGUGGCACUCUUGGAGGUCUCUUUCAUGUGGCACUAUGGGUGGAGAACCUUACCCAUAGGAAGGGAAGGGGAAAGCUGCAGGACUCCCCAAACUCCAACACUUUUGAUCCUGAUGAUCCUCUUUCUCUCUUCUCUCCCUAGUCCUCUGUUUAUAUAGAGUGGGGGUGAAUAACACUGGGGUAGUAGAACCAGUUCAGUCACCCCUUCCUAAGCCCUAGAGGUGGUGCUGCCCCAAUUUAUUUGCAGCUUUCUAGAAUGUGAAGUCUUUUUGUCCUAGCUCUAAAUAUGAGGCAUUAGGAAAAGUGCCUUUGGAAAUCCUAUUGCAAAUAUCUGUUGAGGGAACCAACCAAUGUGUUUGCUGCGUUGUCGGCUCCUUAGGAGUCUCUGACCAAGUUAGUCACAGGGAUAGGAGACACUUGUUGAGGGGACUGUGUUUCCUAUGUCAGUAAAGGAGGAAGGAAACAAACCAAGGCACUGCCUGUCAGGGGAUGUGCAGACCCUCAUGGGCAGCUGGAACAUCAGAGGCAGAAUUGGCAUGGUGAGGUCUGGGUGAAAAGUGGGAGUUAUGAAAAAAAAUAAUCAGCAGGAUGGGAUGAGACAGAGGAACAGAAAAAUGAGAGAUGGAAAGAUGAUGGGAAUAGAACAUGAUGGUGACAAAAAUUUGUAGGAGGAGAAGAUGGUGGAGGAGAGAGGAGGAAAGACAGGCAGGCUGGAGUUGGGGGAGGGGACCAGGCAAAAGGAGUGGGCUCUCACUCACCCAACUGGGGCAAAGGGCUGGGCAGAGCAGCUGGCGAAAGAGAAUAGAGCCUGUGGUUAGCAUUUGCCAGCUGGUGCAGGUGGCUCUGAGCUAAAUCCAUCCUCUGCCCCACCAUGCAGUCUUCUAAGGAGGUUAGAGAUGGGGGAGGAGGAGUAGAAAGAAUUGUGGGGAAGAGAGAGCACACUCUCCAGGUGCAGGAGCUGCCACUUUAACAAACGCACUUGAAGAUAGCCCAAGAACACUGUGGAGGAGCUUGAUCUUUUUAUUCCUGGACAAGAAGGGACAAUGAGAGAUGGAACCUUUCUAAGGCUGCUUUGAUCAUACCAACAGUUGUG